Amphiprion ocellaris (clown anemonefish) is the source of this 2123-nucleotide long non-coding RNA. RefSeq lists it as uncharacterized. Lineage: Eukaryota; Metazoa; Chordata; Actinopteri; Pomacentridae. The transcript is spliced from 2 exons. The record is from RefSeq and is a predicted model, not a curated record.
ACCAGUAGCGUUAUUUUGUUUUGUUGUACGUUAAGUCAGCGACUUGUGAAGAGUUGUGUUUUGUCGUGUUUGAGCAGUUGGUCCGGACGCGUUAGCUAGCUAAGCGGCUAAGUUAGCUAGCGGGCUAAUCAACACAGGUGGCUAACUUACUGCUGAACACCUGUGUUAGUUGCUGCCGCAGGUGUCCGUCAUUAUUAGAAUGAAAUUCUUAACGUGUAUUUCUCUGCUGUGUAUUUUAGCUUUUAAAAAAGUUAUUUUACUUUAAGGUAAACUGAAACCCGUUGAGCUGCACCGAAGUUUAACAUUGAGCUGGUUUGAAUUAAACUGUGCUGAACAUUGCGCAACAUUACCUCUCUGAAUCUCCAUAAGUUCAUUAAAUUCCUUCUUUCUUCCACUGCUCAAUUUCAAUCCAGUAUAUAAAGUGACAUUAAUAGUGAAUAAACCAUCAACCAGCCAUCGUAUUUAUUUGUUAUUGCAUGUAUUUGUAGUAAAACAUGAGCUGAAACAUCCUACUUUUGGAUCUAGAACUGCACAAGCCGUUCAUUUUCAGUCACCUGACGAGUUAAACUCCCCUUUUUAUGUGAGGUUGAAGCAGAAAGUCUGCAUUAACAAAGAAAGUCCUUCAUAAUUUGCGAUACCUGUUAUUUCUGACUGAGGCUUUAGUUUUUGUUGAGCUGAUUUACAUGUAGAAACUUUGUUCAGGAAGAUUUCUCAGUAGCUCAGAGGACAGGCUGCUUUUUACACAACCUUGUAAGAGAAUGUCUGUCAAUGCUUUCAGCAGAAUUUAGAAACACAACACUUCCUAAACAGAUAUUUUGAGGCUGUGAGGUUGAACGUUUGAGAGUAUAUUUGUGUGUUUGUUUGUGGUCUUUCUGUUUCUAGGUGGAAGCUGAAUUAGUGAGGAUGACUCCUGCUCCUGUCAUCUCUAAGCUCCUCACACAUCUUUACCUGCACAUGAGGAAAAUCACUCCUGUAGAAUGCAGAUGUUCAGAGGGAGAUGAUGCCACAUCUGGUCCAGCUGAUGGAAGGUCUUGAAGUUCUCUGACUGGCCUCGACUGAAGAUGGUCGUCUCACUGCAUUUAAGGUUCAGAUGCUCAGUAACAAACUCCACCAAUGAGCCAACAGGGAAGCUUUAGGUUUAUUAAAUGUUGCUAUGAAGGUAUCGCUGUUUUUCUUUGUGAAUGCAAUGUGCUCCAACUGAAACUUGAAUUAGAACUUAGAAGUAAAUCCUUCCAUCUGAAAGGAUCUAGUUGCAUUAAUAACCUCAUAACAUUCUAAUUUUUAUUCCAGUCUUGGUUGGAAAUAGAAUCUCUGUAUUGAUUCAGGUAAAAACUGAACUUCACAGCAUGUUGGAGCAAAACAACCAGAUGAAAACUGUGAUGGUGUUGGAUUGUCAGACCGUAAUGUUGCAGCUCAAAGCAGCUUUUCUAUCUCGGUUCAUUCUGACAUUCAGCUAUGAAUCAACACAGCAGAUGGUGAUCCAUGCUGUGGAAGUCUCACAUCUCCUGAUUUAAUGGAGCUGCUUUGCACUUUUUACACAGUUUAUUCACCAACACUUUAUUUAAUAAAAGUCCCAUCUAGUUUUUAUGAGGAAUGUGAGGUUUUAAUUUCUCUGUGAAUAACUGCAGUCUAAUGUAACAGCUGGAGUUGUAACAUCUGUCCUGAUAUUGAUCAUGAACCUUCUAACCUUCUGCUGCCUAUUAUCUGAAAACAGGAAUGUUCUGCUCUCAUUACUGAGCACACAGCCUAGUAAGAGGAGCACUUUUCAGAAAUGACUCAUGGGUAUUUAUUUUUUUAACAAAGACAAGAUGAUUGAUUGGUAGCUACAGACACUUGUUUGUAUUUUGUUCCCUUUAGAUAUGAAAGUAGAGUUCAGUUUGUUUCCUGAAGGCCUGUUUUAACAUUCCCUGGAAAUGGACCAAGUGAUGCAACCAAUGUCUGAGUGUGUCGGGGAAGAAGAGGGUCUGAAUUGGAGGUAGGGGGGCUGCAGUUAUUCCCUGAAGGUGUUUCUGUCGCAGCUCUGUGCUGCAGACUGUUCAGUCUAGAGCUGGCUCUCCAUUCACACUGUACAGAGAUCUAGCAUGUCUCUCCAAAUGAUUAAUAAAGAUGUCUUAUUACUAAAA